Molecule: transfer RNA, 88 nt
Filed under: Amborella trichopoda
Lineage: Eukaryota; Viridiplantae; Streptophyta; Magnoliopsida; Amborellales; Amborellaceae
Description: tRNA AMTR_s00043t00274560
Source: RNAcentral
UAGUGCUUACUACAACGAAUAGUAGUAGUAGUACUUGUACUACUACGAGUAGUUCUAGUAGUACUUGUGCUACUACGAGUAGUGCUAG